RNAcentral lists this ribosomal RNA (394 nucleotides) under uncultured bacterium. RNAcentral's name for it is "bacterial SSU rRNA". It matches the Rfam family "Bacterial small subunit ribosomal RNA", at positions 355 to 766 of the family's 1533-position model. The record is from RNAcentral.
UAGGGAAUAUUAGUAAUGGGCGAAAGCCUGAACUAGCAACGCCGCGUGUGCGAAGAAGGCCUUCGGGUUGUAAAGCACUUGUAGAGAGGAUGAGGAAGGACGGUACUCUCAGAAUAAGUCUCGGCUAACUACGUGCCAGCAGCCACGGUAACACGUAGGAGGCGAACGUUAUCCGGAUUUACUGGGCGUAAAGCGCGUGUAGGUGGUUUGGUAAGUAGGGCGUGAAAGCUCCCGGCUCAACUGGGAGAGGCCGUUCUAAACUGCCAAGCUAGAGGAUGGUAGAGGGAGGUGAAAUUCCGGGGGUAGCGGUGGAAUGCGCAGAUAUCCGGAGGAACACCAGUGGCGAAGGCGGCCUCCUGGGCCACUCCUGAGACUCAGACGCGAAAGCUAGGGU